GGGGGGGGGGGGGGUGCUGGUGAGAGACAGUGACGCUAUUCCCCAGCCCCAUCCCAGCCCCCACCUCUCUCCUGGACAGCCACCCUUUCCCAGAAUUCCUACUGAACCUUGUCACUCUUGUGGCCCCUGCCUUCCCUCCACCCCCAACUUUCUCCAUCAGCCACACAGGUCCUUCCUCGUCCCGGUGUCCUCAGCUCAGGCGUCUGCCUCUGCUGCUCGCCCCUCACCAAGCGGCAGCACCCGGUGACCCUCAGGCUCUGCUCUGGCAGUCCCCCCACCCUGGAGAAGCCUUCCUGGCUGGUCUAAAGCCGCCUCCCAGCCCCCCCCUCCACCCUACCACCCUCCUGGCUUCUCCUGUAGAUAGGGCUGGGGUGCUUUCUGAAUUCCCAGGAGAGCAAGCCUGCACCCUGCCCCCCACAGUGUGCCCAGAGGGGGCAGCCAACCAAUCCUGAGGGGGUGGGGGCCAUCUUGGGCACUCCUCCUGUGGGGAACAUAAGUCAAGCAGAGACUUAGUUUUGGGGAUACUGGGGGGGCAUUGAACAGUGUUCCCCUCAAAUUUGUGUCCACUGGGGACCUGUGAAAGUGAUCCUGUUUGGAAAUACGGUCUUUGCAGAUGGAAUCAAGUUAAGAUGAGGCCAUGCUGGGUUAAGGUAGCCUAAAUCCAUAUGACUGGUAUCCCGUAAGAGAGAAGUCUGGACACAGACACACAGAGAGGCCAUGUGACAGCGGAGGCAGAAACUAAGACCCCAUCUGUGGUCACUUGUGCAGAAGCCACAGGACACUGACAUGUCCCCCGGGCCUCUCCAAGCUUUCGCAUCAUGUGCUGCCUGAAAGCUUGGGUUGGAGGCAGCUGGGCGUCCUGAACUCGCUUCUCUCCCCCUGGGUCCUGUCAACCAUCCUUCCAACGAGCUAGGAAUGGAGCCACCGGUGGCCUGUGGAUGGAGGGCCAGCUCAGCAGCACACCGUGUCCUGUCUCCUGGGUAGAGGGUGGGCAGGAGCCACGCAGCCACUGCCGGGACGGCCGGGCAUCUCAGCUCCAGGAGCAGCAGCUUUGCCACCCACCACCUCCCUGUGGCAGACCCUCCGGCGGAGACCACCACUUCCUGAGAUGCCACUGUCCCUGUCCCUGCACCUUCUGGGCCCGACCCCAUCGCCACCCUGACCACCAGCUGUGUCACCCCCACUUCUGGGUGAGCAAUUUCUGACCUCACGUGAGGGAGGCCUGAUGUAGAAACCUCUCAUCUGUGUCCUUCCCUGGGGCCUCCUCGGGCUGGCCUGGUGGGGACCUGGUGUGGCCCACAGCACGGGUCUCCAGCAGAGGAGGCCCUGGGCCUCAGCGGUGGCCUCCCCCUCUGCCUCUCCACCCCUCCCCUCCUCUCUUCACAAGAGCACAGAGGCCCCAGCGCCCAGCGUGGACACAGAGGCUGGGUCAGGGGUCAGCAGACGGUUAUUUGACCUCCCUGGCAAUAAGGGAGUGGAGGUCUGUUGGGGCAGGGGACAUGCCUGCCCCCUUCUCCUCCCCCAGGGGCUGUGCUCCUGGAGUUACUUCACCUGCCCUUCCUGCCACCCCCACCACCCCACCCCCGGUUUUCCUGAGAACUAGUUGACAUCCAUCGCUGCAUGUUUAAGGCGUCCAGCACGAUGAUUUGAUUCACGUAUAUGCUGAAUGAUGACCACGACCUAGGUGCUCGUUCUGCCAGCGUCACGAACCUGUGCCCAGCUCCUGCCCCAUCCGUGGCUGCAGAAGACCCUGAAA
This is a long non-coding RNA of Hipposideros armiger (great roundleaf bat), 1756 nucleotides long. RefSeq lists it as uncharacterized. The record is from RefSeq and is a predicted model, not a curated record. Lineage: Eukaryota; Metazoa; Chordata; Mammalia; Chiroptera; Hipposideridae. The transcript has 3 exons.